RNAcentral lists this ribosomal RNA (476 nucleotides) under uncultured bacterium. Its description in RNAcentral is "bacterial SSU rRNA". It matches the Rfam family "Bacterial small subunit ribosomal RNA", at positions 37 to 507 of the family's 1533-position model. The record is from RNAcentral.
UGGCGGCAGGCUUAACACAUGCAAGUCGAGCGGUAGCAGAUCUAGCUUGCUAGAUGCUGACGAGCGGCGGACGGGUGAGUAACGCGUAGGAACCUGCCCAGUAGUGGGGGAUAGCCCGGGGGAAACUCGGAUUAAUACCGCAUACGCUCUACGGAGGAAAGAGGGGGCUUCGGCUCUCGCUAUUGGAUGGGCCUGCGUGAGAUUAGCUAGUUGGUGAGGUAAUGGCUCACCAAGGCGACGAUCUCUAGCUGGUCUGAGAGGAUGAUCAGCCACACUGGGACUGAGACACGGCCCAGACUCCUACGGGAGGCAGCAGUGGGGAAUAUUGCACAAUGGGCGCAAGCCUGAUGCAGCCAUGCCGCGUGCGUGAAGAAGGCUUUCGGGUUGUAAAGCACUUUCAGUGGGGAGGAAGGCCUCGUAGUUAAUAGCUGCGAGGAUUGACGUUACCCACAGAAGAAGCACCGGCUAACUCCGUG